Molecule: ribosomal RNA, 303 nt
Filed under: uncultured bacterium
Lineage: Bacteria
Description: partial 16S ribosomal RNA
Rfam family: Bacterial small subunit ribosomal RNA
Source: RNAcentral
AGCAGUCGCCACGGUAAUACAGAGGGUGCGAGCGUUAAUCGGAUUUACUGGGCGUAAAGCGUGCGUAGGCGGCUUCUUAAGUCGGAUGUGAAAUCCCUGAGCUUAACUUAGGAAUUGCAUUCGAUACUGGGAAGCUAGAGUAUGGGAGAGGAUGGUAGAAUUCCAGGUGUAGCGGUGAAAUGCGUAGAGAUCUGGAGGAAUACCGAUGGCGAAGGCAGCCAUCUGGCCUAAUACUGACGCUGAGGUACGAAAGCAUGGGGAGCAAACAGGAUUAGAUACCCGUGUAGUCCCUGUCUCUUAUAA